UAUGUGCCUCGAAGAGGUACUGUUGUCUGUCCAUGAUGACUAUACUGCUCCCCUUGUCUGCCGGUUUGAUCACUAUCUCGUUGUUCUCCUUCAGCUCUGUCAAGGCCUGCCUCUCUUUUCUGGUGAUGUUAGACUUAUCUUUUGUUGUAGGCAUAUCCCCAAUGGCUGAUGCUGUCUCUGUUAUAAAUUCUGUUAUCUCCCUCGGGACAUCCUCGUCGUCUGGGGACCAUCCUGUGAGUGGCCUGAAGGGUAUAAUUUCUGCAGGUUCUGCGUCACUGAAGUGGUGUAUUAACUUAAUGGAUCGAUAGAAUCUGUGUAGGUCACCCUGCACUUGUUCCUUGUGGGUUUUGGGAGUAGGGACGAAGGGCCUUGGCGACAGCCUCAUGCACACGAUCAGUGGGCUGGCCCUGGCGGUAUUCAUCAUCCAAAUAUUCCAGACUGUUUUGCUCGCGGAGACCGCUUGCCGAACUCUUCCCGACUGGGCAACGAUUUUCCAGUUUCUCUAUCUCUGUAGCUUCUUCAGGGAAAGAGAUCUAAUUCUCUUCGGUUAGGGUUUUUAAGGGGUAGGUUGAUGUUCCUCCCUUUCUGGGUGGAGCUUCCCAUGUGCUCGGUCCUAGGACCAGUCACUUUGGUUGGGCUCUACCUGUUCUUUGUUUGGACUGGUCGGUCCACUUCCAUUGUUUGUAAUGUUACCAAAUGUAUCUGGCAUCUUGUAUCAUUUGUUGCUAGUGUUUUCAGCCUCUCUUGAUCAAUAAAUGUCCAAAUUCCUCUUGUCCA
Molecule: long non-coding RNA, 777 nt
Organism: Amblyraja radiata (thorny skate)
Lineage: Eukaryota; Metazoa; Chordata; Chondrichthyes; Rajiformes; Rajidae
Exons: 3
Source: RefSeq, a predicted model, not a curated record